Molecule: ribosomal RNA, 253 nt
Filed under: uncultured bacterium
Lineage: Bacteria
Description: partial 16S ribosomal RNA
Rfam family: Bacterial small subunit ribosomal RNA
Source: RNAcentral
UACAGAGGUCUCAAGCGUUGUUCGGAUUCAUUGGGCGUAAAGGGCGCGUAGGCGGAUCGUUAAGUCGGGGGUGAAAUCCUGGAGCUCAACUCCAGAACUGCCUUCGAUACUGGCGAUCUUGAGUCCGGAAGAGGUGAGUGGAACUCCUAGUGUAGAGGUGGAAUUCGUAGAUAUUAGGAAGAACACCAGUGGCGAAGGCGGCUCACUGGUCCGGUACUGACGCUGAGGUGCGAAAGCGUGGGGAGCAAACAGG